UGCAAGCGCACUCUGUGUCACGUUGAAUUUCGAUACCCACAUGUGAUGACAAUUUGUUAACUUGCUAAAAUAAACUGAUGCUGCGACUUAUCCAUGUGAUCAUGUCCUCAAAAUAAAAUGAUUGCAUUGAAUACGCGCAUUACAUUUG
Small nucleolar RNA from Drosophila innubila, 148 nucleotides. RefSeq annotates it as small nucleolar RNA psi18S-841/snoR66. Lineage: Eukaryota; Metazoa; Arthropoda; Insecta; Diptera; Drosophilidae. The record is from RefSeq and is a predicted model, not a curated record. The transcript has a single exon.